GACGAACGUUGGCGGCGUGCUUAAUACAUGCAAGUCAACUGAAGCAGUGGUAGCAAUAUCGCUGUGGAGGUGGCGCACGGGUGAGUAACACGUAGGUAAUCUGCCUUCAGGUCUGGCAUAACUCCGGGAAACCGGGGCUAAUAGCAGAUGAUGCAGCGGCUCGACAUCGAGACAGUUGUUAAAGCUAUGGCGCCUGAAGAUGAGCCUGCGUCUGAUUAGCUAGUUGGCGGGGUAACGGCCCACCAAGGCAACGAUCAGUGGCUGGUCUGAGAGGAUGAUCAGCCACACUGGAACUGAGACACGGUCCAGACUCCUACGGGAGGCAGCAGUAAGGAAUAUUGCUCAAUGGGAGAAAUCCUGAAGCAGCAACGCCGCGUGAGGGACGAAGGGCUUUUGCUUGUAAACCUCUGUAGUGAGAGAAAAAAAUCCCAAUCUUUGGGACAUGAUGGUAUCUCAAAAGUAAGCCCCGGCUAACUACGUG
This 481-nucleotide ribosomal RNA is filed under the name uncultured bacterium. RNAcentral describes it as "partial 16S ribosomal RNA". It matches the Rfam family "Bacterial small subunit ribosomal RNA", at positions 28 to 507 of the family's 1533-position model. The record is from RNAcentral.